This 611-nucleotide ribosomal RNA is filed under the name uncultured bacterium. Its description in RNAcentral is "bacterial SSU rRNA". It matches the Rfam family "Bacterial small subunit ribosomal RNA", at positions 338 to 948 of the family's 1533-position model. The record is from RNAcentral.
CCUACGGGAGGCAGCAGUAAGGAAUAUUGGUCAAUGGACGAAAGUCUGAACCAGCCAUGCCGCGUGAAGGAUGAAGGUCCUCUGGAUUGUAAACUUCUUUUAUUUGGGACGAAAAAAGGGUUAUCUAACUCACUUGACGGUACCAGAUGAAUAAGCACCGGCUAACUCCGUGCCAGCAGCCGCGGUAAUACGGAGGGUGCAAGCGUUAUCCGGAUUCACUGGGUUUAAAGGGUGCGUAGGCGGGUAGGUAAGUCAGCGGUGAAAUCCCCGAGCUUAACUUGGGAACUGCCGUUGAUACUAUUUAUCUUGAAUGUUGUGGAGGUUAGCGGAAUAUGUCAUGUAGCGGUGAAAUGCUUAGAUAUGACAUAGAACACCCAUUGCGAAGGCAGCUAACUACGCAAAUAUUGACGCUGAGGCACGAAAGCGUGGGGAUCAAACAGGAUUAGAUACCCUGGUAGUCCACGCCCUAAACGAUGAUUACUCGACAUUGGCGAUACACAGUCAGUGUCUGAGCGAAAGCAUUAAGUAAUCCACCUGGGAAGUACGAUCGCAAGAUUGAAACUUCAAAGGAAUUGAGGCUGAGACGNGCGAGACGACGACGAGGGAGGAGG